Molecule: long non-coding RNA, 863 nt
Filed under: Phoenix dactylifera (date palm)
Lineage: Eukaryota; Viridiplantae; Streptophyta; Magnoliopsida; Arecales; Arecaceae
Description: long non-coding RNA (PDAC_LNC015765)
Source: RNAcentral
UCCCCCGGUCUUUUUCCAAGAAUCCCUGCCACCAAUGAUCAGUUUAUAAAAAUAAACAAAUAAAUAAAUGACCCCACCUUCAACUUAACUCCAAAAAUAAAUCAAAAGCAAUCCUAGUUAGUAGAUAUUCAAACUUAUACUUUAAUUCAAAACUUCAACUUGUAGUAAUUCAUUCUACAUGGCCCCAUCUUCUAGUUCUCCGGCUUUCACAAACCCUUCAAAGGGUCUGCGUUGCAAUUUACAAUACAAGUACUCCAUGUCCCACCAAAAUAAAAUCUGUCCCUCUUUGAUGCACCUUAUGCUUCCAAAACAAUAAAUCCACAUCAUCGUAGUAAUCUGUUACACACCUAACCACGCCAAUUUGAACAACAACGUAAAGGACGGUAAUAAAAAAUACAAAGAACAUAACGAGACGCAUAAAAAUCCAAUGACAAAUGAGAACAAGAUAAAAAUGGAUCCAAAAGCAGGGACGCCUUAAAUCUUUACCUCGGGAGGGAGGAUGACCGGCCCGAGCUGCGGCUUCCAAGGGGCUCUCCUCCCGAAGCGUUCCACGGCCUCCCUCACCGACUCGAAGGGUGCCGAGGUGUCGACCUCCCAUCUCCGCACCCUCUGCGCUUCCUUCGCCGCCCCCGAGGAGGAGGAGGAGGAGGCAAGGGUUUCCGGCGGCGCCGCACCAGUAACCACCUCCAUUGGAGAAGAACCCGAGGCUUCGUACGAGAAUGCCUUCUUUCCUUCUCUUCCUACUUGUUCUUCUUCUUCUUCUUCUUCUUCUCUGUCCUACUCUUCUUCACUUUUUCGAGUGAAGUCGAGAUCGGAGUAGAAGCGGAAGAACAGCACAGACGCAGACAGAGGGAAGGGGGAAG